RNAcentral lists this ribosomal RNA (440 nucleotides) under uncultured bacterium. RNAcentral's name for it is "partial 16S ribosomal RNA". It matches the Rfam family "Bacterial small subunit ribosomal RNA", at positions 338 to 795 of the family's 1533-position model. The record is from RNAcentral.
CCUACGGGAGGCAGCAGUGGGGAAUAUUGCACAAUGGGGGAAACCCUGAUGCAGCGACGCCGCGUGAGCGAUGAAGUAUUUCGGUAUGUAACGCUCCAUCAGUAGGGAAGAAAAUGACGGUACCUGACUAAGAAGCCCCGGCUAACUACGUGCCAGCAGCCGCGGUAAUCCGUAGGGGGCAAGCGUUAUCCGGAUGUACUGGGUGUAAAGGGAGCGUAGGCGGGUGUGCAGGCCAGAUGUGAAAGUCCGGGGCUCAACACCGGGGCUGCAUUUGAAACUGUGUGACUAGAGUGUCGGAGAGGCAGGCGGAAUGUCUAGUGUAGCGGUGAAAUGCGUAGAUAUUAGGCGGAACACCAGUGGCGAAGGCAGUCUGCUAGACAGCAACUGACGCUGAGGCGCGAAAGCGUGGGGAGCAAACAGGAUUAGAUACCCGAGUAGUC